UCCGUAGGUGGUUUCGUAAGUCAUAUGUUAAAUCUUCAGGCUCAACCUGGAGGCCGCGUGUGAUACUGCGAGACUAGAGGAUGGGAGAGGCAGACGGAAUUGUUGGUGUAGCGGUAAAAUGCGUUAAUAUCAACAAGAACACCAAAGGCGAAGGCAGUCUGCUGGAACAUUCCUGACACUGAGGGACGAAAGCGUGGGUAGCGAAUC
RNAcentral lists this ribosomal RNA (207 nucleotides) under uncultured bacterium. RNAcentral's name for it is "partial 16S ribosomal RNA". It matches the Rfam family "Bacterial small subunit ribosomal RNA", at positions 568 to 774 of the family's 1533-position model. The record is from RNAcentral.